This 2543-nucleotide non-coding RNA is filed under the name Pan troglodytes (chimpanzee). Lineage: Eukaryota; Metazoa; Chordata; Mammalia; Primates; Hominidae. The record is from RNAcentral.
GGGCUCAGAGCUCGCCGCCAAGGGGCGUGGCCUCCGGGCCGCGGUGGCCUCCGGGCCGCGGUGGCCUCCGGGCCGCGGCGGCCUCUGGGAGUUGUAGUCCCGCCUCAACUUGUGGUGGCCUCUUUUAAAAAACAAAAAACAAACAAACAAAAAAACACUGGCGCUUGGGUCCGUCGCUGCCUCGGUGUCCCUGUCGGGCUUCCCAGCAGCGGCCUAGUGGAAAAGUAAAAGAUGUCUGAAUAAAUUCGGGUAACCGAAGAUGAGAACGAUGAGCCCAUUGAAAUACCAUCGGAAGACGAUGGGACAGUGCUGCUGUCCACGGUUACAGCCCAGUUUCCAGGGGCGUGUGGGCUUCGCUGCAGGAAUCCGGUGUCUCAAUGUAUGAGAGGUGUCCGGCUGGUAGAAGGAAUUCUGCAUGCCCCCGAUGCUGGCUGGAGAAAUCCGGUGUAUGUUGUCAACUAUCCGAAAGGUAACAAAAGAAAAAUGGGUGAGACAGAAGCUUCAUCAGCAGUGAAAGUGAAAAGACCAGUCCGAUUUAAUAGUGUUGGGUCUCCCAUGGAAAACAACUGAACAGGACCUGAAAGAGUACUGUAGUACCUUUGGAGACGUUCUUAUGGUGCGGCAAAGCCAAGAUGAGCCUUUGAGAAGCAGAAAAGUGUUUGUGGGGCGCCGUACGGAGGACAUGACUGAGGAUGAGCUGCGGGAGUUCUUCUCUCAGUAUGGGGACGUGAUGGAUGUCUUCGUCCCCAAGCCGUUCAGGGCCUUUGCCUUUGUUCCAUUUGCAGAUGAUCAGAUUGCGCGGUCUCUUUGUGGAGAGGACUCGAUGAAAGGAAUCAGCGUUCACAUAUCCAAUGCCGAACCCAAGCGCAAUAGCAAUAGACAGAAAGAAGUGGAAGAUUUGGUGGUAAUCCAGGUGGCUUUGGGAAUCAGGGUGGAUUUGGAACACUUCUGUCUACAUGCCUUCUCAUUCAAGAAUUCGUCAUCACACAUCACAGGCCGAGUCUUUGACGGUUAAUGAGAAUGAUCCAGAAGGGAGGAGAAGCGAAUGGUGCAGUGGAGAGCAGAGUCCCUGAGCAGUGGAAACAGCCAUGAAGAUCUUUCAUCUCUUCAAAGCACCACCUGGUGUACCUCGCUGGCUGCCGGGCUGAGGUGGGGCAGGGGUUACGUCUGCUCUUCGAUCCUGUGAUUCAAGGGGGAUCCAUUUUCGUCUUCUUUGGUGUCCAACACUUCGCUGAGUCCCAGAGAAGGAAUAUCUUCUUCAUAUGGUCCUAAAAGGCACCUUGGCUUCCUCUUUUCUUCUCUGGGGAAGUCACCUGCUACACUGUGAGGACAUCUAGGCAGCCCUACGGAGAGGUCCCCAUGGCAAGGAGCUGAGGCCUCUGCCAAGAGCCAGCAGUGUGUGAGAGGCCUGCAAGUGAGGCUCCUGGAAGCCGGUCCUCUAGCUGGCAGGUGACAGAAGCCCCCACCAGUAUCUUACCAUCAACAUCAGGAACGACCCUGAGCUAGAAGUACCCAGCUAAGCCGCUCUCAAAUUCCUGACCCAAAGAGACCGUGCAAGCCUGAGCAAGAUCAAAGGGGAGCACUGCCUUGCAACCAAAUUCUUCCUCUGCAAUAACAAGUGCUGCUGAGUAAGGCAUUCUUCAGGAAGAUGGAGGGACUCAACUGGUAAAGGAGGGACUCUGGAGGUUCUCUACGGGCUGGCAGUAACUCCUGAAUCUGGGGAAGAAGGAGAGAAAGGAAAGAGCGGAGAAGACAUAAUCCUCAAGGAAGCUGUGGGCUUAACUUCUUACACAUUUCCCUUGGUGCGUCUGCCCAGAGACCCGGGGGAGCUGGGUCCUUGUGGUGAGUAGCUUCCUGGGCUCACUGGCUCUGAUCCCUGUGCCAGUGUCCCAGGGGGGAGGGAAGAGGCAGCAUCUCUAACAAGUGUCUGGGGGUAUGGGAAGGAACUGGGGGAUCAGGAGCCAGACUUCUGGGCCAGGAAAGGGGUGAAGAAGCUCAUCUAUUUUACUUCAUCCCUUGACCUUCAACCCCCCAAGUGGCACCUGGCCUACAGAGCAGCUUCCCACACCAUGACCAUGGACUCUGCCUGACUUUGGAGUCCAAAGCCCAGCCCUGAGGCUGGCCCAGUCAGGAGGGUGCAUCUCCUGGGGAGAAGGGCACCAGAAAUGGUACAUCCCUCCUUCCUCAUGUGCCCAGCACUACAUGCCCACUAUCUUGAGGUCGAAUUCGCUGAUUCUCUGGAGGUCCCGUCCAGGUGGGGCCCCUGCCCACAUGGUUACUCAGGCAAGAAAUGUGGACAUGGCAGCACUGCCCUGCCAUGGUUCUUCCCUCCUCGGGCACUAGCCUGGGACUAUUCCCCAGGGAAUGCAAGCUGACAUCCUGAGAGCACUCCCCCAGUGGGAAGUUCUACAGAAACAGAUGGCGUUGCCAGGGAAGUUCCAACAGCUGUCUUAUAUGUUAAUGCUUCUGAAACUGGACACAUUUCACAUUUUGAAACCAGCACUGGACUCAGUACCAACAGGAAUAAAGUUUUUUAAAACGCA